GCUCCGGCUCCUGAGGCUAGCACAGGUACCAUUCAGUUUGAGUAACUUCAGUUUGGAUGGAUCUCGAGUUGUGUCCUGACCAGAUACAUGAAAUAUGUUAUUGCACAUACUACAAGUGGAUCAACUGUUGCUGGAGUUGAUGUUACUCCUCCUCCAUCUUCUGCAACUGUACUUUCAACUGGAAAUGGCAAUUCAAUUAUGCAAGGGCUUUAAUUGAGAUUCUACCAAACAGCAAGGCCAGCUGCAUGACAGCGUUAGUUGAAUAAAAGUGAGUAUGAAAGAGCGGGCCAAGAGAUUUUACCUUUCAACCAUAUCCGCAUUUUUUGUUGGGAUGGGCGUAUCUCUUGGUAUUGAUGUAUUAGAAGCUCCCAAAGCAGCAAAAUAUUACCACACUGUCUUAACUUCCAUUCAGACUGCUGUGACGAAAACUAUUAUCCCGGAUUGAGCAGUGUCCAGACUGAUCCAAUUGCUACAACUUUGGCUUCCUCCAUAUCAAGUUUGAAAGUGAUUCAUGGGGUUGCUUUUUCAAGCUUCGAACUUU
Papaver somniferum (opium poppy) is the source of this 541-nucleotide long non-coding RNA. RefSeq lists it as uncharacterized. Lineage: Eukaryota; Viridiplantae; Streptophyta; Magnoliopsida; Ranunculales; Papaveraceae. The record is from RefSeq and is a predicted model, not a curated record. The transcript is spliced from 3 exons.